This 492-nucleotide ribosomal RNA is filed under the name uncultured bacterium. RNAcentral describes it as "partial 16S ribosomal RNA". It matches the Rfam family "Bacterial small subunit ribosomal RNA", at positions 30 to 507 of the family's 1533-position model. The record is from RNAcentral.
AUUGAACGCUGGCGGCAUGCUUUACACAUGCAAGUCGAACGGUAACAGGCCUUCGGGUGCUGACGAGUGGCGAACGGGUGAGUAAUGCAUCGGAACGUGCCCAGUGGUUGGGGAUAACGCAGCGAAAGCUGUGCUAAUACCGCAUGUGAUCUGAGGUUGAAAGCGGGGGACCAGGCAGCAAUGUUUGGCCUCGCGUCUUUGGAGCGGCCGAUGUCAGAUUAGGUAGUUGGUGGGGUAAAGGCCUACCAAGCCGACGAUCUGUAGCUGAUCUGAGAGGACGACCGGCCACACUGGAACUGAGACACGGCCCAGACUCCUACGGGAGGCAGCAGUGGGGAAUUUUGGACAAUGGGCGCAAGCCUGAUCCAGCAAUGCCGCGUGCGGGAAGAAGGCCUUCGGGUUGUAAACCGCUUUUGUACGGAACGAAAAGACUCUGGCUAAUACCUGGAGCUGAUGACGGUACCGUAAGAAUAAGCACCGGCUAACUACGUG